GACGAACGCUGGCGGCGUGCUUAACACAUGCAAGUCGAACGGAAAGGCCCUGCUUUUGUGGGGUGCUCGAGUGGCGAACGGGUGAGUAACACGUGAGUAACCUGCCCUUGACUUUGGGAUAACUUCAGGAAACUGGGGCUAAUACCGGAUAGGAGCUCCUGCUGCAUGGUGGGGGUUGGAAAGUUUCGGCGGUUGGGGAUGGACUCGCGGCUUAUCAGCUUGUUGGUGGGGUAGUGGCUUACCAAGGCUUUGACGGGUAGCCGGCCUGAGAGGGUGACCGGGCACAUUGGGACUGAGGUACGGACCAGACGCGUACGGGAGGCAGCAGUGGGGAAUAUUGCACAGUGGGCGGAAGCCUGAUGCAGCAACGCCGCGUGCGUGAUGACGGCCUUCGGGUUGUGAACCGCUUUCGCCUGUGACGAGGCGUGAGUGACGGUAAUGGGUAAAGAAGCACCGGCUAACUACGUG
Molecule: ribosomal RNA, 468 nt
Filed under: uncultured bacterium
Lineage: Bacteria
Description: partial 16S ribosomal RNA
Rfam family: Bacterial small subunit ribosomal RNA
Source: RNAcentral